RNAcentral lists this ribosomal RNA (618 nucleotides) under uncultured bacterium. Its description in RNAcentral is "bacterial SSU rRNA". It matches the Rfam family "Bacterial small subunit ribosomal RNA", at positions 67 to 683 of the family's 1533-position model. The record is from RNAcentral.
CGAUGACUCUCUAGCUUGCUAGAGAUGAUUAGUGGCGGACGGGUGAGUAACAUUUAGGAAUCUACCUAGUAGUGGGGGAUAGCUCGGGGAAACUCGAAUUAAUACCGCAUACGACCUACGGGUGAAAGGGGGCGCAAGCUCUUGCUAUUAGAUGAGCCUAAAUCAGAUUAGCUAGUUGGUGGGGUAAAGGCCCACCAAGGCGACGAUCUGUAACUGGUCUGAGAGGAUGAUCAGUCACACCGGAACUGAGACACGGUCCGGACUCCUACGGGAGGCAGCAGUGGGGAAUAUUGGACAAUGGGGGCAACCCUGAUCCAGCCAUGCCGCGUGUGUGAAGAAGGCCUUUUGGUUGUAAAGCACUUUAAGCAGGGAGGAGAGGCUAAUGGUUAAUACCCAUUAGAUUAGACGUUACCUGCAGAAUAAGCACCGGCUAACUCUGUGCCAGCAGCCGCGGUAAUACAGAGGGUGCGAGCGUUAAUCGGAAUUACUGGGCGUAAAGCGAGUGUAGGUGGCUCAUUAAGUCACAUGUGAAAUCCCCGGGCUUAACCUGGGAACUGCAUGUGAUACUGGUGGUGCUAGAAUAUGUGAGAGGGAAGUAGAAUUCCAGGUGUAGCGGUG